GAUGAACGCUGGCGGCGUGCCUAAUACAUGCAAGUCGAGCGAACAGAUGAGGAGCUUGCUCCUCUGACGUUAGCGGCGGACGGGUGAGUAACACGUGGAUAACCUACCUAUAAGACUGGGAUAACUUCGGGAAACCGGAGCUAAUACCGGAUAAUAUAUUGAACCGCAUGGUUCAAUAGUGAAAGACGGUCUUGCUGUCACUUAUAGAUGGAUCCGCGCUGCAUUAGCUAGUUGGUAAGGUAACGGCUUACCAAGGCGACGAUGCGUAGCCGACCUGAGAGGGUGAUCGGCCACACUGGAACUGAGACACGGUCCAGACUCCUACGGGAGGCAGCAGUAGGGAAUCUUCCGCAAUGGGCGAAAGCCUGACGGAGCAACGCCGCGUGAGUGAUGAAGGUCUUCGGAUCGUAAAACUCUGUUAUUAGGGAAGAACAAAUGUGUAAGUAACUAUGCACGUCUUGACGGUACCUAAUCAGAAAGCCACGGCUAACUACGUG
Molecule: ribosomal RNA, 497 nt
Filed under: uncultured bacterium
Lineage: Bacteria
Description: partial 16S ribosomal RNA
Rfam family: Bacterial small subunit ribosomal RNA
Source: RNAcentral